Molecule: long non-coding RNA, 740 nt
Filed under: Ananas comosus (pineapple)
Lineage: Eukaryota; Viridiplantae; Streptophyta; Magnoliopsida; Poales; Bromeliaceae
Description: long non-coding RNA (ACOM_LNC016672)
Source: RNAcentral
GCCGACGGGUACCAAGAAUGGAGAUGAAUGGUUUGGGCCAUCAAUGGAAGACCGUCACUGGAAUACGGGAAAUCGUCAGGGGUUGGUUUGUCAGUGAAUGAAGGACCUAAGAUGAAUCGAGAAGGGUCCGAUGAGACGAACUGUCUAAGCAUGGUGUAAUCCAAAGACGAAGAAGAGGAAAAGACGGAAGCGGCGCCAUUGCUAAAACUAAAGAAAAAAGUGAAGAAAAAACUCUAAGGAUCGAAAAAGGGAAAGAAGUAGACCAGGCUUUAGAUCAGAGAUGGAGAAGAGGUCAGAGAAAAGAAGGAAAAGAAAAGAGAAGGCGAAGAAGACGAUGCUUGAGUUAAAAAGCAAAUGGAGAGGAGGAAGCAUGGCGAAGAAGAAAGAAGCCGUCGAGUCGAAUCGAUUUCUGAGACAGGCUAUAAUGAUGAAGAGACAGCAGCAAUUAAGAUGACAUAAUUAAUGCCGCACAAAAGACAAAAAGAGAUGGUGAGAUCGUGGCCGUAGAAAAGAAAAGGACGGCUAGCAUGGCGAAGAAGAAAGAAGCCGUCGAGUCGAAUCGAUUUCUGAGACCGGCUAUAAUGAUGAAGAGACGGCAGCAAUUAAGAUUACAUAAUUAAUGCCGCACAAAAGACAAAAAGAGAUGGUGAGAUUGUGGCCGUAGAAAAGAAAAGGACGGCUAGGGAGGUACCGUACAAAGAAUUUGAAACUGAUUGUAUCGGGAGACGCCGCUCUGAUUA